GGGRGGAUKCMYCAUUCUGCCACCSAAUACAUUAGCAUGGGAUAAUGGAAUAGGACCCUGUCACCUAUUUUCAGUUGGUUUUGGCAGCGCGAGGACUAGGGUAAUGAUUAAUAGGGAUAGUUGGGGGCAUUAAUAUUUAAUUGUCAGAGGUGAAAUUCUUGGAUUUAUGAAAGAUUAACUUCUGCGAAAGCAUCUGCCAAGGAUGUUUUCAUUAAUCAAGAACGAAAGUUAGGGGAUCGAAGACGAUCAGAUACCGUCGUAGUCUUAACCAUAAACGAUGCCGACCAGCGAUUAGGAGACGUUGAAUACAAAACACCACCAUCGGCGCGGUCGUCCUUGGCGUUCGUGUUCACGCACGAGCGCGAGGGCGGYUUAGCCCGRUGGCACCGGUGAAUGACUCCCCUAGCAGCUUGUGARAWGKGUCUCACAAGKUGCUAGGGGAGUCACGCUCCGGGRAAAGUGUGUGGCCCCUCCCACAGGUGGKRGGGGAGGUCKUUCUCGGGGAAAAAUUUGGGGCCCCUUUCAAGGGGUGUGGGGGGGGUUUCUUG
This 548-nucleotide ribosomal RNA is filed under the name Acanthamoeba genotype T4. RNAcentral's name for it is "partial 18S ribosomal RNA". The stretch from base 1 to 351 matches the Rfam family "Eukaryotic small subunit ribosomal RNA", at positions 790 to 1125 of the family's 1831-position model. The record is from RNAcentral. Lineage: Eukaryota; Discosea; Longamoebia; Acanthamoebidae.